CACAUACAGACACACCCACCCACACACACACACACACACACACACACACACACACACACACACACACGCACACACACAAACAAACACACGCCCACACACGCACAUUCUGCCCGGUCACAGGGAGGAGGAAGGCGGAUCAGUAAAUGUUAGACUCCAGGACUUCCUCAGCAGAGCAGACUCUAGGCUACAGCGCAAUCAUGGACGAAACUGCUCCACGUCCUGGCCGCUCCAUGUUUGCGUGGCUGGUGGGAGCGUCACAGUUGCUGGGUGUGGCGUCCGUGGUGCUGACCGGCGUGUGGAUGGGUCACUACCGCGGGGGCUUCGCCUGGGACGGCUCAGGGCGGGAGUUUAACGUGCACCCUCUGUGCAUGGUGCUGGGACUGGUCUUCCUGCAGGGUGACGCCAUCCUGGUCUACAGAGUUUUCCGCCAUGAGGCGAAGAGGAACGUAAAGGUGCUUCACGGCAUCAUCCACCUGCUGGCCCUCAUCAUCAGCAUCGUAGGUAUUGUAGCUGUGUUUGACUUCCACAGAGCAUCAAAGACCCCAGACAUGUACACUCUACACAGCUGGUGCGGCAUGGCUACCUUACUCUUAUUCAUCAUACAGUGGGUGAUGGGUUUGCUGUUCUUCCUCUUUCCUGUUGCGUCGUCAUGGUUACGAGCCUCAUACCUGCCCAUCCAUGUGUUCUGCGGUCUGGUUCUGCUGGUUAUGGCCAUAGGGAGCAGCCUGCUCGGCAUCACGGAGAAACUCCUCUUCAGCAUCAUGCCAACCUACUCUCAGUUCGCCCCAGAGGGGGUGCUGGCCAACACCUUGGGGAUCCUGCUGGUGGGUUUCGGGGUGCUACUGGGCUACCUGAUCACCAAGGAGGAGUUCAGGCGUCCGCCGAACCCAGAGGAAGAGGCUCUGUCUGUCCACUUCAAGACCCUGACGGAGGGGGGGUCCCCCACCUCGCCGUGACCCCAGCGGGACGUCUGACACAUCCCUGUCGCCUGGAUACCAACAGUGUCCCGCCUACCUAUCUGACCCAUUUGAUCUCAGAUUACUGAACAGACCGGUCGACCUUCACCCGAAAUUAUUUAUUUAUACUUUAUUUUAUGUAAUAAUUAAUAGAAGAAGCCUAGUAAAUGUAGAGGCUCAGUGCAGUAAAAAGACAACAGUAUUUCGACAAAUCAGAUUUAUAAAUGAAUAGGUUUAAUAGAGAAAUAUAUUGCUCCUUCAUUUCAUACGGCUUCAAGCAGGAACACAAGCAGCCUGAACUGACAAAUCACAGUUCUUUAUGUCUCCACAAGUGUUUU
Sander lucioperca (pikeperch) is the source of this 1294-nucleotide RNA transcript. It is a transcript of the gene named cytochrome b561, with no coding region annotated. The record is from RefSeq and is a predicted model, not a curated record. NCBI's taxonomy places the organism in Eukaryota, Metazoa, Chordata, Actinopteri, Perciformes, Percidae. The transcript has 7 exons.